GAAAAGCCCGCUCGCCGGAAGACCAAGGGUUCCUGUCCAACGUUAAUCGGGGCAGGGUGAGUCGACCCCUAAGGCGAGGCCGAAAGGCGUAGUCGAUGGGAAACAGGUUAAUAUUCCUGUACUUGGUGUUACUGCGAAGGGGGGACGGAGAAGGCUAUGUUAGCCGGGCGACGGUUGUCCCGGUUUAAGCAUGUAGGCUGGUUAUCCAGGCAAAUCCGGAUAAUCAAGGCUGAGGUGUGAUGACGAGGCACUACGGUGCUGAAGUAACAAAUGCCCUGCUUCCAGGAAAAGCCUCUAAGCAUCAGGUAACAUCAAAUCGUACCCCAAACCGACACAGGUGGUCAGGUAGAGAAUACCAAGGCGCUUGAGAGAACUCGGGUGAAGGAACUAGGCAAAAUGGUGCCGUAACUUCGGGAGAAGGCACGCUGGUGUGUAGGUGAAGUCCCUGCGGAUGGAGCUGAGACCAGUCGAAGAUACCAGCUGGCUGCAACUGUUUAUUAAAAACACAGCACUGUGCAAACACGAAAGUGGACGUAUACGGUGUGACGCCUGCCCGGUGCCGGAAGGUUAAUUGAUGGGGUUAUCCGUAAGGAGAAGCUCUUGAUCGAAGCCCCGGUAAACGGCGGCCGUAACUAUAACGGUCCUAAGGUAGCGAAAUUCCUUGUCGGGUAAGUUCCGACCUGCACGAAUGGCGUAAUGAUGGCCAGGCUGUCUCCACCCGAGACUCAGUGAAAUUGAACUCGCUGUGAAGAUGCAGUGUACCCGCGGCAAGACGGAAAGACCCCGUGAACCUUUACUAUAGCUUGACACUGAACAUUGAGCCUUGAUGUGUAGGAUAGGUGGGAGGCUUUGAAGCGUGGACGCCAGUCUGCGUGGAGCCAACCUUGAAAUACCACCCUUUAAUGUUUGAUGUUCUAACGUUGGCCCCUGACCGGGGUUGCGGACAGUGUCUGGUGGGUAGUUUGACUGGGGCGGUCUCCUCCCAAAGCGUAACGGAGGAGCACGAAGGUUAGCUAAUCCUGGUCGGACAUCAGGAGGUUAGUGCAAUGGCAUAAGCUAGCUUGACUGCGAGCGUGACGGCGCGAGCAGGUGCGAAAGCAGGUCAUAGUGAUCCGGUGGUUCUGAAUGGAAGGGCCAUCGCUCAACGGAUAAAAGGUACUCCGGGGAUAACAGGCUGAUACCGCCCAAGAGUUCAUAUCGACGGCGGUGUUUGGCACCUCGAUGUCGGCUCAUCACAUCCUGGGGCUGAAGUAGGUCCCAAGGGUAUGGCUGUUCGCCAUUUAAAGUGGUACGCGAGCUGGGUUUAGAACGUCGUGAGACAGUUCGGUCCCUAUCUGCCGUGGGCGCUGGAGAAUUGAGGGGGGCUGCUCCUAGUACGAGAGGACCGGAGUGGACGCAUCACUGGUGUUCGGGUUGUCAUGCCAAUGGCACUGCCCGGUAGCUAAAUGCGGAAGAGAUAAGUGCUGAAAGCAUCUAAGCACGAAACUUGCCCCGAGAUGAGUUCUCCCUGAGACUAUAAGUCUCCUGAAGGAACGUUAAAGACGAUGACGUUGAUAGGCCGGGUGUGUAAGCGCAGCGAUGCGUUGAGCUAACCGGUACUAAUGAACCGUGAGGCUUAACCUU
Molecule: ribosomal RNA, 1623 nt
Filed under: Klebsiella pneumoniae
Lineage: Bacteria; Pseudomonadati; Pseudomonadota; Gammaproteobacteria; Enterobacterales; Enterobacteriaceae
Description: bacterial LSU rRNA
Rfam family: Bacterial large subunit ribosomal RNA
Source: RNAcentral